This 541-nucleotide ribosomal RNA is filed under the name Salmonella enterica subsp. enterica serovar Tennessee. RNAcentral's name for it is "partial 23S ribosomal RNA". It matches the Rfam family "Bacterial large subunit ribosomal RNA", at positions 2267 to 2807 of the family's 2925-position model. Lineage: Bacteria; Pseudomonadati; Pseudomonadota; Gammaproteobacteria; Enterobacterales; Enterobacteriaceae. The record is from RNAcentral.
AGUUUGACUGGGGCGGUCGCCUCCUAAAGAGUAACGGAGGCGCCCCAAGGUUCCCUCAGAAUGGUUGGAAAUCAUUCGAAGAGUGCAAAGGCAAAAGGGAGCUUGACUGCGAGACUGACAAGUCGAGCAGGGACGAAAGUCGGGCUUAGUGAUCCGGUGGUACCGCAUGGAAGGGCCAUCGCUCAACGGAUAAAAGCUACCCUGGGGAUAACAGGCUUAUCUCCCCCAAGAGUCCACAUCGACGGGGAGGUUUGGCACCUCGAUGUCGGCUCAUCGCAUCCUGGGGCUGAAGUAGGUCCCAAGGGUUGGGCUGUUCGCCCAUUAAAGCGGUACGCGAGCUGGGUUCAGAACGUCGUGAGACAGUUCGGUCCCUAUCUGUCGUGGGCGUAGGAAAUUUGAGAGGAGCUGUCCUUAGUACGAGAGGACCGGGAUGGACGCACCGCUGGUGCACCAGUUGUUCCGCCAGGAGCACAGCUGGGUAGCUAAGUGCGGACGGGAUAAGCGCUGAAAGCAUCUAAGCGUGAAGCCCCCCUCAAGAUGA